GAUUCGUCGAUAGGACACAGAGCACUUCGCGUUGGACUGGGUAUGUCCCUGUCCCUGCAAACCUGCUCUCUCUGCACUCAAUACAACUAUUUCGCUUUAAUUCCUGCAUAUGUUCCAACUUUACCAAACCCCAUCUCUCUUCCUUACCUUAACCACGUCGUCGUUCAGAUGUUUUGGAUCUCUGUUGAUCAAAUCGAUCUCUUUGGUGUGAACAUCAGUCACGUAUUUCUCGUUCAACUUCUCAUCUUCCAUUUUAUUAUUGGGUUUGUAAAUAUUCCCGUAGUCUCUGAUCGGCGAUGGGUAUAAAAGUCCCUGGGAAGGGUCAGAACAAUUUCUUAUUUAAGCUGACUUUGAGCGGCUCUAACACAAAACACCGAACGUAGCCGCCGCCUGAUGCCUGAGAGGAACUUUAUUGAGCCUGAUCGUAUAUAAGUGGAAAAGUAGAGCGGCACCACACCCCUGUGAACCGGAGCUGGCGGCUGGAAAGCCAUUCCCAAUCCGGCAGCAGGGGGCAGCACAAGGGCUCGCUUGGAUACAGGGAGUCACUCCAGCACUGACCCACUGGGAAAUCUCCAACUGAGGGAUACAGUGAGUCAUUCCUCCACUGAUCCAUUGGGAAAUCUCCAACUGAGGGAUACAGGGAGUCAUUCCUCCACUGAUCCAUUGGGAAAUCUCCAACUCAGGGAUACAGUGAGUCAUUCCUCCACUGAUCCAUUGGGAAAUCUCCAACUGAGGGAUACAGUGAGUCACUACAACAUCGACCCACUGGGAAAUCUCCAACUGAGGGAUACAGGGAGUCAAUCCAGCACUGACCCACUGGGAAAUCACCAACUGAGGGAUACAGUGAGUUACUUCAGCAUUGACCCAUUGGGAAUUCUCCAACUGAGGGAUACAGGGAGUCACUCCAGCACCAACCCUCUGGGAAAUCACCAACUGAGGGAUACGGUGUGUCACUCCAGCACUGACACAUUGGGAAUUCUCCCACUGAGGGAUACGAACAGUAAAUGCAGGAUGGAUGAACCGAGCGGUUUGAGUCACCAUGGAGAUCAGAUGUUUUUCACAGCUCGGGGAGCUUCGAAGACCGGUACGCUCGAGUGAAGCGUAAAUUGAUGGCAGAGAAGCAGCGUCCAAUGCUCUGAUACAGAGGAGAAACAAACAUGUCCAUGAUCGUUUUCCAGAUGGUUUUACAGGAGGGCAGGAUAACCAUAAAUGUCUUCACAAUGGGCAUAAGAAACCUGCAGUUAAAACAGAGACUCUAUUACUCACAAUCAUUUUACAGAUUCAUAAUGAUAGAUGUCAACAAAUGGAAAACUCAGCAUUUCAAGCUAUGCAUUACCAAUCCACAGAGAACUGCUACAAUUUCCUACAUCAAACAAUUCUUUUUUGCUUUUCUCGUGUCAGCUUCACAAUUGUGAAUGUGACCAAACCUUUCUGUAAUAUUGACGAAGGAACAGUAUUGGUAGGACCCUGUGAUUAGUGCCCCUGUUCUUCCUUGAAAUAAUGCAUGGGAUCACUUACAUCUGACUGAACAGACAAUGGGGACUUGGUUUAAUGUUAAAUCCAAAAGGUGGGGCUUCUAACAGUGCAGUGUUUCCUCAAUGAGUCACUGGAGUGACAGCCAUGGUUGAAUGCACUCAAGCCCUAUAAUGGGACUUGAACCCAGGUCCUUGGGCCUAGCAACUGAACCACAACUUACAUGCAGCCAUUAGUAUAUGCCAGGAACAGACAGGCUUUGCCUUUUAAAAAUAUAUUUUACUUCUGUUAAUUAUGUGUGUAGGUUCUAGGUUAGAUUGCUUACAGUGUGGAAACAGGCCCUUCGGCCCAACAAGCCCACACCAACCCUCCAAAGAGCAACCCACCAGACCCAUUCGCCUACAUUUACCCCUCACCUAACACUACGGGCAAUUUAGUAUGGCAAUUCACGUAACCUGCACAUUUUUGGACUGUGGGAGGAAACCGGAGCAAAUCCAAGCAGACACAGGGAGAAUGUGCAAACUCCACACAAACAGUUGCCUGAUGUGGGAAUUGAACCCAGGUUCCUGGCGCUGUGAGGCAGCAGUACUAACCACUGUGCCACUGUGACACCGUGUGUAUAUAUAAAAAACUGGUUAAGAAAGUUGA
Long non-coding RNA from Hemiscyllium ocellatum (epaulette shark), 2121 nucleotides. RefSeq lists it as uncharacterized. The record is from RefSeq and is a predicted model, not a curated record. NCBI's taxonomy places the organism in Eukaryota, Metazoa, Chordata, Chondrichthyes, Orectolobiformes, Hemiscylliidae. The transcript has 3 exons.